Molecule: long non-coding RNA, 3979 nt
Organism: Marmota monax (woodchuck)
Lineage: Eukaryota; Metazoa; Chordata; Mammalia; Rodentia; Sciuridae
Exons: 2
Source: RefSeq, a predicted model, not a curated record
GUGCUAGCCAUAGGUUCCUGGCCCUGUUUGGGGGCCUGUGGAUUCCUCAGCCACUGCCUAACACAGCUGAGAGCUGCGCCAGGCUCUUAGGAGUGAAAAGGAAGCACUCCUCAGAGGCACACCCGCUGCGCCUUUUCCCAGGCGGCUUCCCAGGUAUUGACUUGUGCUAACAAUGAAAGGGAAAUUUCUUAGUGUAAGUUUCCACUCACCAACUUCAAACAGCACAAGCUUGCUCAAUCUUGAAGCCUAAACGGAAUGCUUUACAGAAAAUCAGUGUUCUAACGUAAUUCCUGAGAUUCUUUCCUGCAUUCCAAACAUAGCUAGCCUACAUUGGCACCCAAGAGACAGUCUGCAGAAGGAAAAUGAAUAUGUAGCAACCUGUAUUUCUUUCCACUGAAUGUUCCAAAUGUAUUACGUUUUUCAAAAUCAAAUUAUCAGAUAUUUUCAAGAAGCUCGGGAUCAUCUCAUACUGCUGGAAAGAUUUAGCUUGAAAAAGUUAAAAAAAAAAAAAAAAAAAGAAGAAGAACUUAAAGACUGUUUUCAGGUUUUUUUCAUGAGUCAGGAACAACCUGGAAGUAAAUGGAGAUCUUCAGCCUCUGGUCAGCUGUGAGGACAGACCACCCUGAAGGGUGUGCUCCUACAGUGCUCUCUGUGGCAUGUCAUUUCCUAAUUUCUGUGUAACGUUUCACAUUCAUCUUCCAAGGAUGCAGAGAUAGCCAGGUCAACAAUAUGAUGAAAGCCAGCUGAAAUGGAGGCGUAAGGCUGCCAGGACUCUCCUUCAGCCUGUUUUGUUUGUGCAUAUGAGCAGUCAUCCUCUCCCAUUGCUGAGCAGUUCUCUCCGUAUUUGGAUAAACCAUGGUCCCCAGCAGUUCUUGAGUUUGACCUCUUACAGCUUCUACCCUCAGAGAUGGACUGACUGACUGAUGUGUUCAUGUCUCCUCACGCCCAGAAGUCCUUGGACAGAAAACUCAUUGAUUCAGUGUGAGACUCAAGCUAUGACCAGGGAAAACCAAAAUAUUUUGAAUAAUGGAGUGGGGAAGUAGCCAGUGUUUACAAUCCCCAGUGCUCUUAUAUGGCACAAAGGAUUCAUUGAAGAAUUUUAAGCAGGAUAUUGGCAGAAUCAGAUGUAUUUUAAUAAGCACAUAAUAACUGAAAGCAACAAAUUGGAGCAGGAACUUGCAUCAGCUGGUAAACUUGAAUGUGUUUCCCUUGGGCAUGUCUAUGCUUCACAGAAGAUUAAAGCUCAGAGCAGCAAGGACGUGGGUCCCAAUCUCAGUUUGGGGCCACGAGUCACGUGUCCUGCUGCUUUUUCAUCAGAUGGGCAGAACCUAGUAGGAUACACUUAUUCCUAAUCCCCAGGGGGAAAGAGGUUCUGCUCCCAAGAAGACCCUUUUCUGCCAUCAGUGUUCUAAUUUAAUUCCUGAGAUUCUUUCUUGCCUUCCAAACAUAGCUAGCCUACAUUGGCAUCCAAGGGACAGUUUGCAGAAGGAAAAUGAAUAUGUAACAACCUGUAUUUCUUUCCAGGUGGAUUCUGCUCCCAAGAGACCCUUUACUGCCAUGUGUACUCCUGGCUGUAUGUGAGAGGUUGUGUGUGAGGGAUUUGGGUCGGACUAGCUUCCUUCCUAGAGUGAGGAAAACUGUUUUCAAUUGCACAUGUGGGAACUGCUACGGGGGUAUCUGGAUUUAAAAGACUCUUGUUGGAAACUGCUUGUGCACCUCUUUCCAGAUUGGCCACCUGAGGACUAAAAUCAUUUGUUGGCUGUGUAACUGCUGCAAGUUAGUGUGCUCACUGCUUCCUUCUCAGACUUUGCUUGCUGUUUCUUACCAAUGGCUCACACCUAGCACCCCUGGGAAGAGGACUCUGAAUCAUCUGUGUGCUUGCUGAGCCAGGCAGGCUUCUUAUAUCACUUGGUAGAGUCCAGUUGAAAGGGUAUAAAAAAUAAUAUUUGGAUGACAUGUCCCCCCAAAAGCUCUUUUUUUAAAAAAAAAAAUAUUUUUUAGUUGUCAAUAGAGCUUUUAUUUUAUUUAUUUAUUUAUUUAUAUGAAGCACUGAGGAUUGAACCCAGGGCCUCACACAUGCCAGGCAAGCGCUCUACUACUGAGCCACAACUCCAGCCCCACCAAAAGCUCUUUUUAGAAAGUCACUGAGAAAUUAGGAAUGAUGAAUUUUCAGAGACCAAAAGCUAAGAGAAAGAGAGAACUCAGACAGGCACCAUUUGAGUGGAUAAUGGCUGAGAUCCAUAAAGGACAACUACUCUAGGAUUCAGGAAGCCCACAGUAAAUAAAAGGAAAUCUCUAUGUCUAGCACACUGAAUUGAAUGUGGCCAUAAGCACUUGGCAGCUAUUUCUAGCCCCUUCUAUAUUUUUUAUUUAUAUAUAUUUUUUUCAUGUUGCUAAUCUUAAUGCUAUGGACUCCACUCCCCAGACGGUUUCUCCUUGCCCGACCUGGAUGUGACAUAGGCCCUUCCAGGGCUCUCUCAUGACACACGGAGGCCAGCUGUGAGAUGAGGCCAUCUUCCUGUCACAGUUUCAUCUGGGCAGUAAGGACGUGAUGUGAUCCUGAGAUGUGGUGUUUCAAGGUAGUGGCAGCAACUGGACUCGGCGAUCCAGUGCCUGGCCAACACCAGCAUGUGAAACUCCUGCUGGACUUGGCAACCCUGUCUAGUCCCUCAUCUCACGGGGCUUCCUAACUUAUGAAGCAUGACGCAGGGAGUCCUGCACCUUGCAGCAAUGACAGCCUCUGACAGCAGCUGGUGUGAAGCCUCUCCUGUGCCCCGUGCUCAGCACCUCUCCUCUCUCCCCCCAGAAGGAGGCUGUGGGUGUCCUGUGAGCCAGACUUUCACGGCUGCCAGAGAAGAAGUGGAAAAGCCCCAGUAGGUCGUCUCUCCUGGAGGCACUGGCUCACUCCAGGGCGCAGCAGCCCCCCUCUUCUCUGUCCCUGUCUCACAGGGAACUUUCUGCUCUGGGUGCCUUCCUGGGAAAGGCAGCCACAUCUGCAAGAAGUCAGGAAGCUCUGUGACAAGGAGCGGCUGUGGAGUCUCCUGCCGCUCACCUCCCAGGAGGCCUCCUCAUCUUUGUCCAGGGAGCUCUUGCUAACAAUCAGUCACCCAGACAUUGUUUUUCCUCCUUUUAAUUCAACUUUUUGCUUGAAGAGACUCCAGAAUCUUGACUUCUUACUUUUCUUGCUUCUGGCCUCUCCCUCCAAAUCCACUCUCCAGCAGAAGUUAAUAAUGAAGAUUGUGAUCUAACAAGGGUUGAUACAACUUUUAAAUCUCCUGCUUUCCAGUUUCAGGAUUCUGAGACUCUGAUCAAUGGAUAAUAACUUCAUCCAUUAAAGAACUCCUAGUGUUUAGCUUUUGUGUUUCCUGAGAUAAUUCAGAGAAGCAAAAGUCUUGUCAGUAUUCGCUGCUGUGCACAAAACUCCUGUAGACACCAGAAACCAAGCCAAACUUGAUGCGGCAUUUGAAGUCAGCACUGAGACUUCCAGAUAUCACUCGAGGCGUACCCUCAGGACACAAUCUCCCAAUCAGCAACUGCCGUGCAACAAAUAUAAAGGAAACCACCUCCUCAGUAAGCCAAAUUCCUGGCAUAGUCUUUUCUCUCAGUUUCAAAAUUUCCCAUAUUUUCCUGUCAGUAUCAUUCAUCCAGACAUUUUCCAUCGAAUUAAUGUGAUUUAUUUUCUCUUAAUAAUAUCAUUACACACUCUUUAAGAAUCUACUCUUCUAACAAGAUCAUUCCAGCAGUGAUUUGUCACCAUUUCUCUGACACAUGCUCACUGCGUGUUGCAUAUAGGUGUGCUAAGUUCAGUUUGUUGAAUUUUCAGAACAUUUUAUUUUAAACAAAACAUACCCCUGUCCUUUAUUUCCGUAUCAACAUUAUUCAGUGUCUAAUCUCAUCACAGGAGAAGUGUUGGCUUCCAGGGGCUAACAUUUAAGAUCUUAAUAUGGACCACUGCAGUUGAAAGAUAAGAGUUCAAAUU